ACCUACGGGGGGCAGCAGUGAGGAAUAUUGGUCAAUGGCCGGAAGGCUGAACCAGCCAAGCCGCGUGAAGGACGAAGGUGCCAAGCAUUGUAAACUUCUUUUGUCAAGGGACAAAAUCAGGCUCGAGAGCCUGACCGAGGGUACUUGAAGAAAAAGCAUCGGCUAACUCCGUGCCAGCAGCCGCGGUAAUACGGAGGAUGCGAGCGUUAUCCGGAUUUAUUGGGUUUAAAGGGUGCGUAGGCGGGCUGUUAAGUCAGCGGUAAAAGCCCGGGGCCCAACUGCGGGACUGCUUUGGAAACUGCCCG
This 305-nucleotide ribosomal RNA is filed under the name uncultured bacterium. RNAcentral describes it as "bacterial SSU rRNA". It matches the Rfam family "Bacterial small subunit ribosomal RNA", at positions 337 to 639 of the family's 1533-position model. The record is from RNAcentral.